AACGCACGAGACCUGCGGACCUGCGGAGGGAUCAUUACAGGACUCGCAAGACUCCUAUAACCCUGUGAACUUACUACAAAGCACGUUGCUUCGGCGGGUGCCUCCGGGUGGUUUUCCUCCUGGAAGCGCUAAGCCCGCCGGCAGCCUACUAAAUUCUGUCUCUUUGCGUUGGCAUCUCGAGUACAAACAAAUAAGUUAAAACUUUUAACAAUGGAUCUCU
This 220-nucleotide unclassified non-coding RNA is filed under the name soil metagenome. RNAcentral's name for it is "partial contains 5.8S ribosomal RNA, internal transcribed spacer 2, and large subunit ribosomal RNA". The record is from RNAcentral.